RNAcentral lists this ribosomal RNA (460 nucleotides) under uncultured bacterium. RNAcentral's name for it is "partial 16S ribosomal RNA". It matches the Rfam family "Bacterial small subunit ribosomal RNA", at positions 338 to 795 of the family's 1533-position model. The record is from RNAcentral.
CCUACGGGUGGCAGCAGUGAGGAAUAUUGGUCAAUGGACGAGAGUCUGAACCAGCCAAGUAGCGUGAAGGAUGACUGCCCUAUGGGUUGUAAACUUCUUUUAUAAAGGAAUAAAACGAGGCACGUGUGCCUUUUUGCAUGUACUUUAUGAAUAAGGAUCGGCUAACUACGUGCCAGCAGCCGCGGUAAUACGGAGGAUCCGAGCGUUAUCCGGAUUUAUUGGGUUUAAAGGGAGAGUAGAUGGGUUGUUAAGUCAGUUGUGAAAGUUUGCGGCUCAACCGUAAAAUUGCAAUUGAUACUGGCAGUCUUGAGUACAGUUGAGGUAAGCGGAAUUCGUGGUGUAGCGGUGAAAUGCUUAGAUAUCACGAAGAACCCCGAUUGCGAAGGCAGCUUACUAAACUGUGACUGACAUUGAUGCUCGAAAGUGUGGGUAGCAAACAGGAUUAGAUACCCUAGUAGUC